GAAAUGCGAUAAGUAAUGUGAAUUGCAGAAUUCCGUGAAUCAUCGAAUCUUUGAACGCACAUUGCGCCCUCUGGUAUUCCGGGGGGCAUGCCUGUCCGAGCGUCAUUGCGAACCCCUCAAGCACGGCUUGCGUGAUGGGCCCUCCCGCGUCUUGGUCGUCAAGACGGGCCCGAAAUGCAGUGGCGGCUUCGCGGUUAUCCGAUCAGCCAGAGCGUAUGGGGACUUUCUCUCUGUCACACGCCCGCGGCGCGGACCGACGCCUGUCGACCUUUAUUCAUCUUUUUCUCGGUUGACCUCGGAUCAGGUAGGGAUACCCGCUGAACUUAAGC
Molecule: unclassified non-coding RNA, 329 nt
Filed under: plant metagenome
Description: partial contains 5.8S ribosomal RNA, internal transcribed spacer 2, and large subunit ribosomal RNA
Rfam family: 5.8S ribosomal RNA (bases 1-105)
Source: RNAcentral